GAUGAACGCUGGCGGCGUGCCUAAUACAUGCAAGUCGAGCGAACAGACGAGGAGCUUGCUCCUCUGACGUUAGCGGCGGACGGGUGAGUAACACGUGGAUAACCUACCUAUAAGACUGGGUUAACUUCGGGAAACCGGAGCUAAUACCGGAUAAUAUAUUGAACCGCAUGGUUCAAUAGUGAAAGACGGUUUUGCUGUCACUUAUAGAUGGAUCCGCGCCGCAUUAGCUGGUUGGUAAGGUAACGGCUUACCAAGGCAACGAUGCGUAGCCGACCUGAGAGGGUGAUCGGCCACACUGGAACUGAGACACGGUCCAGACUCUUACGGGAGGCAGCAGUAGGGAAUCUUCCGCAAUGGGCGAAAGCCUGACGGAGCAACGCCGCGUGAGUGAUGAAGGUCUUCGGAUCGUAAAACUCUGUUAUUAGGGAAGAACAAAUGUGUAAGUAACUAUGCACGUCUUGACGGUACCUAAUCAGAAAGCCACGGCUAACUACGUG
Molecule: ribosomal RNA, 497 nt
Filed under: uncultured bacterium
Lineage: Bacteria
Description: partial 16S ribosomal RNA
Rfam family: Bacterial small subunit ribosomal RNA
Source: RNAcentral